AUUCCAGCUCCAGUAGCGUAUAUUAAAGUUGUUGCAGUUAAAAAGCUCGUAGUUGGAUUUCUGGCAAGGCAGAGCUAACCUGGUACUAUGUAUCGUGUGUUGGACUCGGUCUGCCAUCCUUCCAGAAAAGCAUCAUACCCUUCAUUGGGCCGUGGUGAUAGAUCUGGAACUUUUACUUUGAAAAAAUUAGAGUGUUCAAAGCAGGCGUUACGCUAUGAAUACAUUAGCAUGGAAUAAUAAUUUAGGACUUCAGUUCUAUUUUGUUGGUUUCUAGGACCGAAGUAAUGAUUGAUAGGGAUAGUUGGGGGUGCUAGUAUACAGCGGCCAGAGGUGAAAUUCUUGGAUUUUGGAAAGAUGAACUACUGCGAAGGCAUUUACCAAGGAUGUUUUCAUUA
This 395-nucleotide ribosomal RNA is filed under the name Marimonadida sp. Its description in RNAcentral is "partial small subunit ribosomal RNA". It matches the Rfam family "Eukaryotic small subunit ribosomal RNA", at positions 582 to 975 of the family's 1831-position model. The record is from RNAcentral. Lineage: Eukaryota; Cercozoa; Imbricatea; Marimonadida.